GAUGAAGAACGUAGCGAAAUGCGAUAAGUAAUGUGAAUUGCAGAAUUCAGUGAAUCAUCGAAUCUUUGAACGCACCUUGCGCUCCUUGGUAUUCCGAGGAGCAUGCCUGUUUGAGAGUCAGUUUAUUCUCAGCCCCUCCAGCUUCUGUGUGAGCUGGCUUGGUGGUUUGGAUGUGGAGGUCUGCAGGUGUCCCCCCUUAUUGUGGGGUGUCUGCUCCUCUGAAAUGCAUUAGCAGAACUGUUUGCAAUCUGUUGACUGGUGUGAUAAUUAUCUACGCCAAUGAAGAUUGCUCUCUGGAUGUUCAGCUUCAAACCAUUUUUCACUGUGUGUGAUAUAUAUGAACCUUUGACCUCAAAUCAGGUAGGACUACCCGCUGAACUUAAGCAUAUCAAUAAGCGGAGGA
Molecule: unclassified non-coding RNA, 403 nt
Filed under: soil metagenome
Description: partial contains 5.8S ribosomal RNA, internal transcribed spacer 2, and large subunit ribosomal RNA
Rfam family: 5.8S ribosomal RNA (bases 1-120)
Source: RNAcentral